UAAUAAGAACAAGAAAAGUAGAAGUUUGUGUAGUUUCACCAAAAAGGUGAUUUAGUGACAAAAAAAAAUUAAACUUUAUGACGACAAAUCACGAUUAGUUCAAAAGCUUUGAAACACAGUAGCGUAUGAAGUUUCAUUUUUCAGUUGAGCGAUAGUUCAAUAAGCUAUCGUUACCUUCUCACAGUUCUUCCAAAUGAAAUCACUCAUCUGCCGUGUGCUGUAGAACAUGACAAUGACUGUA
RNAcentral lists this unclassified non-coding RNA (241 nucleotides) under Hevea brasiliensis (rubber tree). The record is from RNAcentral. Lineage: Eukaryota; Viridiplantae; Streptophyta; Magnoliopsida; Malpighiales; Euphorbiaceae.